GGGGGAUUCAGAAUUCCAUGCUGUAUUAUAUGACCACCGGACACGCACAAUACCCCUCGAGGUACAUUGAACACCUGGAGUAUUAUAUAACACAAAUAAUGGAAUGGGGUGAAUUAGGAUUAAGGAAGAGAAAGGUGGAGGAGAAAAAAACAGGACGACAAUCCGUGCGUAAUGAACAGCGCGUGAUACAAUUUCGGGUUUAAAGAGAACAUUACGACCCUUCUUACCCGCAAACAACAAAACGAACCGUGGCAAAUCGAAGACUGGGCAAAAAGCAGCUGCCUCUGCGUGUGCAUGUUUGGAAGCACACCUGUCCUGACAGCAUCUCAGACGGCUUUGAGUGUCUGCAUUGUGCGGCUGGGACUGGGCGCUGUGCGCCAGCCUCGCGUGCGGGUGCACGGUCGCCUUUGUGCACAGAGUGCCUUCUGUCUGCACUUGGCAGCUCUGUGUACAGAAUAUAAGUUCUUCCUUGUACCAGUGGAGCCAAAUCUGAAGGACCUGACAUUAUCAAAUUUGGGGGGCAUUUACAGACCUAGUAACUUGUGAGUCCCCAAAAUGUGAAUGCUUAUUAACUGGAAAUCGGUGUAAAGUAAUUAAAGUCAAUUUCAAUGUCCCAUUAUGCAAUAUGCGGGAUCCUAUUUGUUGCCCUUAUUUAUGUCAUUAAAGGAGCAGUGGUAAGAUUAGCCAAAUGUAGACACAAGCUUAAGCAUUUUUAAGUGUGGGGGAAAACUAUUUCAUCAUUUCAUCAAAAAGCAGAAAAGGCUUAUUUCUAGGGAAGCAACAGCACACACUUCCACAUUAAGGAGAAAAAUGAGUGAUGCCGCCAAAACCACAGCAGUGCGGAGCUUCCAGAUCAAACCCUGCUCCGCCUUAGUUCACCCACUGACCGGAACGCAUCGGCGAACCCCAGGGUUUAGAAAACAAGGCAACGAUCAGGUCACUGCCAUGUUAGCGGUGUAGCCCCUUUUGAUCCGUCGCUGUGUCUGCCUGCCGGAGAUGAGAGGUGGACGGCUUUUGUAUGCGCGCAUUCCAAGUUUAAUUGCACUAAUGUACCCUGGCCCAGGCAACGGAGAGGGGAGAGAACGAUCAGCACUUCCUGUUCCAAGUCGUCCCAUGUCAGAUACCAGAAGGGAAGUCAUUACACUGAUAUGAUGAAAAAUUUCACUAGCCGGGUGCCAAAUGUUACAUUCCCGAGUGUCAGCUUAGGGACCGGCCUAAUGAAAGCAGGGCUCCACAGUGCUCCCAUGUUAGGAGCGUUUGUGCCUGAAAACUGACGUGUGCUAACUGGAAAAACGAUUUAGUAGCACAUCUACUAAUUGGGCUGCAUUACUGCGCUCCUACAUCGUUUAACUUAGGAGACACUGUGCUCCUCGGACAAGAUGUUAGUGAAGAGCCCUGGAAAGGGCAGCCUGGCUUUGCAGCUACAUUUCCCACCCUCAUGAAGAGGGCAAAGGGACGGAGAAAGAUUGGGUUCCACUCCUGAGGUGGUUUAGGUUGAACGUGAGCACCCAUUGCCUUCUAGUCAGUUGAAGUUCACCCCAGUCCUUUGGUCUUUGUUAAAUAUUUUGUCAUGUUCACAGGUGCACAGAAGUACUCCCUGUAUUCAUUAAAUUCUAAAAAGAGUCUGAGUUCAAGAGGGAAAAGUUUAAAAAUCUGAAACUUAAGUCCUUUUUGGUCUUGGUCUUACCUAUUCUUAAAAGAUAUUGUGCUGUCCUGUUGUUUUUCCUUUUUAUUUUUUAACUUUGAUUUUAUUUUUAUUUUCCUCGUACCUAUGUUUUUGUUGUGCUUUUCUGUAAUUGUAUUGUAUUGCAUUUUCUUCUAAGAAAUGCACUAUAAAGUUAAUUACUAUUAUUAUUAUAA
Anguilla rostrata (American eel) is the source of this 1860-nucleotide long non-coding RNA. RefSeq lists it as uncharacterized. The record is from RefSeq and is a predicted model, not a curated record. NCBI's taxonomy places the organism in Eukaryota, Metazoa, Chordata, Actinopteri, Anguilliformes, Anguillidae. The transcript has 2 exons.